CUCACCCUCUCAACUCCCUCUGCCUCACGCUCGGCGAACAGCACGAAUGGCGAACGAUCGUGGGUAUUGAGCAACCAAUGGGGGCUGGAAAUGGGCAAAUGACGCAAAUGAUAGGGGCUUGGGGGUCUUGGGUGGCUCGGUCUCGCGCAGGGGUCGUGGGUGGCUCAGUCUCGCAGAGGGGUCGUGGGUGGUGGUGUAGGUAGCGGCGCGACAAUGUGGCUGGGCUCUUUGUCCUCUCGUUCAUUUCUUCAGACAUAUCCGAGUUCCACAGCUCCGAAGGUCCUCAAUCUCCCCAUCGUCGACUUCUACAGUUCCAAAGCUCCUAAUGUUUGUUAAGUUUCAUUUUUAUUUUUAUUCAGUUUUUCAAUUUUUACAAUGCUUUUGUAGAAACUCUAUGGCCUCAACUAAACCCAAAACAUAUAAAUGGAGCACCAUCAAUGCCUUUUAUGCUUGAGAAGAGGAAGAAGAACUUGAAAUGCUUCUGGAAAACUAUCUCCAAAGUUGGUAGGAGUGAAACAAGAAGGGAAAGAUCUUGAAGAGUUUGUAGGGGAUGAGGGCAUUGGAGGGUCACCAAAAAAAUCAACCCCUCAUAUGUUAUGCAAAACUCUUACAGCUUAUGAUACCAGUUCGCAUGGAGGAUUCUCUGUUCGUCGGAGAGCUGCAGAUGACUGUUUUCCUCCACUGGAUUAUAAAUAGAGGAGACCCUCCCAAGAGCUUGUUGCGAAGGACCUGCACGGGGUAGAGUGGAGAUUUCGACAUAUUUAUAGAGCCAAGGAGACAUCUACUGACUACAGGAUGGAGUAUUUUUGUAAACCAAAAGAAUCUAGUUUCAGGGGAUGCAAUGCUCUUUCUGAGGGUUGCAAAGGGCUCUAUCAUUGGGAAAGGUAUAACAAAAAAAAAAUGUCAUGAUGCUGCCAUAGUUGAUUAUUCCUAUGUUUAAAGUGGACAAAAAGUGUUCAUUCAAAGAAAGAGAUUGAGAGAAAGGUUGCUAGUCAUUGAAAAAUUUAGUCAAUUGAGUUGUAUAUGCUCUUUUUUAUUGUACUUGUUGACGCCGUUUUUCAUCAACUUAAAAUGUAGAGCAAUUAAACAAUAAGAACUAUGGCACAGAUGAACAAUACAGU
Molecule: long non-coding RNA, 1121 nt
Organism: Humulus lupulus (European hop)
Lineage: Eukaryota; Viridiplantae; Streptophyta; Magnoliopsida; Rosales; Cannabaceae
Exons: 6
Source: RefSeq, a predicted model, not a curated record